GGCUAGGUGGGGGUCCUCUUCCUCCCUCCCUCGUCCGUGUGAGUCCCUCCCAAAGCACACUCAGACAAACAGGAUGGACUUCCCCAGCACAGGAGGACCUUCAAGGGUACAGGGGUAGCCGUGCUCCCCUGAUACAACCUCUGAAACAAGCUCUCAAGGUCUCUGCCACUUCAAUAGUGACGCACGGGGAGCCACAUUUCUAGCAUAUGAAAUUCUGAGGGAUACACUCAAAUCUU
Molecule: small RNA, 236 nt
Filed under: Meriones unguiculatus (Mongolian gerbil)
Lineage: Eukaryota; Metazoa; Chordata; Mammalia; Rodentia; Muridae
Description: 7SK RNA (ENSMUGG00000018055.1)
Rfam family: 7SK RNA
About the family: 7SK was discovered as an abundant small nuclear RNA in the mid-70s but a possible function has only recently been suggested.
Source: RNAcentral